GAUGAAGAACGUAGUGAAAUGCGAUACUUGGUGUGAAUUGCAGAAUCCCGUGAACCAUCGAGUCUUUGAACGCAAGUUGCGCCUCAAGCCAUUAGGUUGAGGGCACGUCUGCCUGGGCGUCACAUAUCGUUGCCUGAUGCCAGUUUCCUCGUGAUGGGUGACUGUGCAGGGCGAAUGAUGGCUUCCCGUGAGCAUUGUUGCCUCAUGGUUGGUUGAAAAUUGAGUCCUUGGUAGGGAGCGCCGUGAUAGAUGGUGGUUGAGUGACGAACGAGACCCAAUCAUGUGAGACCCCUACCGAAUUUGGCCUUCAUGACCCACAUGCGUCUUUGGAACGCUCAUGACGAGACCUCAGGUCAGGCGGGGCUACCCGCUGAGUUUAAGCAUAUCAAUAAGGGAGGA
RNAcentral lists this unclassified non-coding RNA (399 nucleotides) under soil metagenome. Its description in RNAcentral is "partial contains 5.8S ribosomal RNA, internal transcribed spacer 2, and large subunit ribosomal RNA". The stretch from base 1 to 122 matches the Rfam family "5.8S ribosomal RNA", at positions 35 to 154 of the family's 154-position model. The record is from RNAcentral.